UACAUGCAGUCGAGCGAAUGGAUUAAGAAGCUUGCUCUUAUGAAGUUAGCGGCGGACGGGUGAGUAACACGUGGGUAACCUGCCCAUAAGACUGGGAUAACUCCGGGAAACCGGGGCUAAUACCGGAUAACAUUUUGAACCGCAUGGUUCGAAAUUGAAAGGCGGCUUCGGCUGUCACUUAUGGAUGGACCCGCGUCGCAUUAGCUAGUUGGUGAGGUAACGGCUCACCAAGGCAACGAUGCGUAGCCGACCUGAGAGGGUGAUCGGCCACACUGGGACUGAGACACGGCCCAGACUCCUACGGGAGGCAGCAGUAGGGAAUCUUCCGCAAUGGACGAAAGUCUGACGGAGCAACGCCGCGUGAGUGAUGAAGGCUUUCGGGUCGUAAAACUCUGUUGUUAGGGAAGAACAAGUGCUAGUUGAAUAAGCUGGCACCUUGACGGUACCUAACCAGAAAGCCACGGCUAACUACGUGCCAGCAGCCGCGGUAAUACGUAGGUGGCAAGCGUUAUCCGGAAUUAUUGGGCGUAAAGCGCGCGCAGGUGGUUUCUUAAGUCUGAUGUGAAAGCCCACGGCUCAACCGUGGAGGGUCAUUGGAAACUGGGAGACUUGAGUGCAGAAGAGGAAAGUGGAAUUCCAUGUGUAGCGGUGAAAUGCGUAGAGAUAUGGAGGAACACCAGUGGCGAAGGCGACUUUCUGGUCUGUAACUGACACUGAGGC
This 720-nucleotide ribosomal RNA is filed under the name Bacillus cereus. RNAcentral's name for it is "bacterial SSU rRNA". It matches the Rfam family "Bacterial small subunit ribosomal RNA", at positions 52 to 752 of the family's 1533-position model. Lineage: Bacteria; Bacillati; Bacillota; Bacilli; Caryophanales; Bacillaceae. The record is from RNAcentral.